GGAGAAUGUAAAGAAUAUAAUAUCCCUGGCUUUAAUACCUUUUCUAAAAUAAGAAAAAAGAAGAAGAAAGCAAAAAGACAUAGUGGUGGGAUACUAGUAUACUAUAAAAAAAUAUACUCCAAAGGGAUUUCCCAUAUUCAAGAAGGUACUAAUUCACAAAACAGGCUAUGGCUUAAAUUAGACAAAAAUUUCUUUGGCCUUACAUAUGACUUAUACUUGUGUGCUGUUUAUAUCCCCCCUGUAAAUUCCACUCAUUAUGAAAAUGACUAUACUCAGCUAGAAAAGGAAAUAAGUACAUAUUCAAACAAAGGACAAAUUGCCUUAAUAGGAGAUUUUAACUCCCGCACUAGCAGUCACCCAGAUUUUAUAGAAAAUGAUGACCCAGAUCUAUUUAAUAUACAUUCUCAAAAUAUAUUACCUCAAAAUUAUGAUGUGGAUCAAUUUUUAAAAAGAAAUAACCAAGAUAAAAUACUAAAUGCACAGGGUAACAAUCUUUUAGAAUUAUGCUUGUCAUCAAGACUACGUAUACUUAACGGCAGAUACAUUGGUGAUUCUUUGGGAUAUUUUACAUGUUUCACGCCCAAUGGCUUGAGUACAGUAGAUUAUGCUAUUGUAAGUAAGAGUCUCCUGACCUCAGUAAUAUACUUUAAAACUAAUGAAAUCAACUACCUUUCAGAUCAUGCACAAAUUGAAAUAUUUCUUAAAUGUAAUAUAAGUGAAAAACAGUCUCUGUUUCCAGAAGACAAAUGGAAAACAAUGAAAUCUUAUAAGUGGAACGAUAACUCCAAAAAUAUAUUAAUUCAAACCCUAUCUUCUGAAAAUUUUAUAAACGAAAUUAUAAACUUUGAAUCAAAGAAAUAUAGUGAAAAUCAAAAUGGGAUAGAUCAGGCAGCUAGUGAGCUUGAUUUAAUUUUAUGCAACUUAACAGAAAAAACUUGUACACUAAGACAUGUAAGAGGUAUACCAAACUUUAAAAGAAACAAAAAAAAGAAACAAAAAUGGUCAGAUAAUGAAGUAUAUGAAUAUAAAAAGUCAAUAAAUGCAGUUGGAAAAGAAUUAAGACAAAAUCCCUUUAACUGUUCACUGAAACAUAAAUAUUUUUGUUUACUCAAAUCAUUUAGAAAGUUAAC
This 1130-nucleotide long non-coding RNA is filed under the name Mytilus galloprovincialis (Mediterranean mussel). The record is from RNAcentral. Lineage: Eukaryota; Metazoa; Mollusca; Bivalvia; Mytilida; Mytilidae.